AUACGGAGGGUGCAAGCGUUAAUCGGAAUUACUGGGCGUAAAGCGUACGUAGGCGGUUCGUUAAGUUAGAUGUGAAAGCCCCGGGCUUAACCUGGGAACUGCAUUUAAAACUGGCGGACUAGAGUUGAGUAGAGGGGAGUGGAAUUUCAGGUGUAGCGGUGAAAUGCGUAGAGAUCUGAAGGAACACCAGUGGCGAAGGCGACUCCCUGGACUCGAACUGACGCUGAGGUACGAAAGCGUGGGUAGCAAACGGGAUUAGAUACCCCAGUAGUCC
RNAcentral lists this ribosomal RNA (274 nucleotides) under uncultured bacterium. RNAcentral's name for it is "partial 16S ribosomal RNA". It matches the Rfam family "Bacterial small subunit ribosomal RNA", at positions 523 to 796 of the family's 1533-position model. The record is from RNAcentral.